GAAAGCACCUCAACUGGUUCGGUUCCGGGCCGCCGUGGAAAACGGGUCCGUCGGCGCCUGUGCUUGGUCUAGGGCGGCCACUACCCCCAAUACGCACAGCAAACGAAUCAAAAUGGUCUAGGGCCGCUGGUCCGACGCGAAUUGGUCUCAUUAGGGCAGGCGGGGCGGGGCGGGGUAGCGAGGGGACCUCAUAAGGUUGCCCUCGCCGCCGCCGCUCUCCGUGCCGGGGCUGGAAGGGGCGUCGGCGGCCGGCGGCGAAGGCCUCCCCCUCUGCUACGGCGACGCCGCCGGCUCCUGCUCCGCGCCGCGCCGCGGGGAAGUGCGGGGAGUCGGUCCAGGUGCGGCUGGAGCGGCGCGCAGGAGGUCCUCGUCCUCUUCGGGAUUACUACGACGCCUACUUGCUUCGGCGGCCGCCACUCCCGACGCUAAUACCCUCUCCUCCUCGACCUCGUGGUGGAGGCGCAGGUGGUGGUCCUCGUGGGCCCACCGCAGCUGCCACUACCCCUGCCACUAUAGCUCCGACUCCCACUCCCGUUCACGAUCCUACUUCCGCUCCUGCUCGAGAGGACUCAUGCUCCUCCUCCCCAAGCUACUACUACUCCUCCACCUCCUACACCUCGGUCUCGAUCUGGGACGUCUCAUGCUCCUACUGCUCCGAAUGCGAGCUCACGAAGUCCUGCGGCUCCUCGCACUCCCGCCCGCCACCUCGUACAGCUCCUAGUGUAUUUACUGUGCGUCGAGUGGUGUAGUCGUAAGAAUUUUUUUAGCACACUUGGAUGAGAGAUUUUUGGCUUCUCCGGGCAACUAUAAAUACAUUGGCUUCUCACCUUCAGGCUGUCCUCGUGUGCGGCCCGGCCUAGGGUAAUGAAGAGGCGAAGUCAAGGUACCGAGGUGGUGAAGGAAAGGGUGUCGGGCAGCGAAGCACGUAGAAGAGGUUAUAGGUUCGAGGUACCGACGUUGUUGGUCACGCAGUUCGGAUGGGACGGUGGCGGGGCAGGUACACGUGGCAAAAGUGGACACCGGCCGGGCGGAGCGGCGGCUCUCGUUUGGCGGUCUAUCGGACACGAGAUCGAAGGAGUCCCGGGAGGAGCGGUAGCGUGUACCGCGUCGAGACCACAACCAGGAAGUGACCUCGCGACUACAAGAGGUUGUUUAAGAUGUAGGUGCCCUCGGUUAUCAGAUUACCGUUCCUCCUACCUGCUCCCGAGAGUUAGACUAAGAUUAGACGCUACAGUUGUUCUAAUUUAGUCGAAAUGCUUCUCUCUAAUGGAGAUUUGUUGUGUCUUUGAUUUUACGUCCCUUUGAUUAAUUUCCUCCUUCUGUGAGGUUAUCCACGAGGACAGAUCUCAAACCUUGGUAACCGACUUACUAUGAUGCCCGGAGACUUUUUGAUAAAUUCUAACCAAAAGUGAAAGUGUAAAAACUACAAUGACGUACGGUAACCCUCGUUUAAGGUCAAUGUUCACGGACGUCGUUCAUCCCAUAACAAAAAAUAAUCAUCCGCCUAUACACAAAUGAGAUAACUCCGCCUCGUAUCCUCUGAUAGGUAAAACGAUGGCCUUAGAGCCAUACAGAAACGAGAGAAAAAGAUAAAAAAGAAAGAAGGCUAAUUGACGUUAAGUGCAGUUACUUUGUACGGUAGAAUGACAAGUGUAAGAUAUAAGACCCAACACUAUAACUACCCAAGAGAAAGAAAGCGUUAUGAUGUGCUCUUAUCGUAUAAAUUCAAGUCUAUACGUGUACCGUCUUUGUAAACGAAAAAUCAAAAGACGUCAUUAAUGACACUACUUUGUACGGUAAAAUAAGAGAAUACAAACUCAGGUUUAGUUAACACUUGUACGAUGAAAGUAUGAAUAGUACAUGGCACGAUCUUCCUAGGUUGGGUUAACAAAAAAAAUGAGUACAUUUUACCUUCUCUUUUAUAAAAAAACCACCAAAACUAGUGGACCCUCCAAAUGAGAUCCCACUUUUCCGAGGUAAAGAAAAAAGACUCGGUUCAUAGUAUAUUUAAACGAUGGAUGUACAAGUCAGCUUAUGACUUUUCUUAUUUAAAUACCUAAUGAGGCUGGACUUUUGGAAUUUAGAACGUUCUUUAGAUGUAGUGUCUAGUGUGGCUUUAGAACUAUCUCAACGUUUGACGGUAAAAGAAUCCAGUUGGAAAAGGACAAGAUCGAUAUUACAAGGUACAUAUAUGUGAUCCACUUUAAUCCGUAAAUACGAUAACUGUUGUUCUGUAUAAAUUGAUGUAGAAUUCUAAAGUCUGGGCAGCAUUGAAGUGAACGUGGGUUGUGGUACAUAGUAUAUAUAUCAAUAUAUGAGUAUCUUUACUCAUAUGGUGAUCUGGUACAGUUUGUGUUUACGAAACAAUUUAAAGUAAAAGACAUAAAUAGUAAAAACAUACGUCUUCCUCAGUACAGCUAAUCUUAUGUUAGGUCGUAUACGAGAACGACUCGUAAACCUUAGUAACCGAAUUACUUGAUGACAGGAGGGUUAUUGAUAAAUACUAACCUAAUCUCGAAAAUAUUUAAAAUAUAAUGACGAAGACCUCGUUUAAGAGUAAAUAUUUAAAGGUUUUUUCCUCAACAAAAAUUACCAUCUGUCCCACAGAGAAGUGAGAGGACUCCUACUCGUAGACUCUAAUAGGACAACCCUAAUAGCUGGCCUUAGAACCAUACACAAACGAGCGAAGAAGAUAUCCUAAGGAAAUCUACUUGGCUGUCACGUGUUGUUACAUAUCUUGUCUAAGGUUAAUAGUUAAUAUAGGGGGACAAAGAUAUAGAUUAAUUAUUAUAAGAAAAACGGUCCAAUAAGAGAAGGAUUUAUCGCGAUGUUUAAGGGCGUCGUUGCGCGCCCCGUAGUAGAUCAAAGCAAUUACACACACUGUAUGUCACAUCAUGAACGAAUAAAGUAACUUCGUCACUGUAUUAACGAACCAUCUCGAUUAAAUAAGAGACUAUAUAAUACGAUUUUCACCAUUUAAAUGGAGGACGGUACAAAAGAGGCCCCUAACACCGUACGUGGAGGCCAAGCAGAUUAAAUACGUGCCUCUUGAAACAGAAACAAGUUUAACACCAUGACACAAAAACGAAUGAAUAACUUUGGUCGGUUUAAACUGACUCAUUGGAUGUAAAUGUUUAGCCGUACAAUAACUUUUUUGUGUCCCAAGUACCGUUCUCUAACUAGGUCUACUCAUGAGUAUGCUCCUUAAUCAACGUAACCCGCCUCACCAAUCAUGUCUUUCAUCUCCAGAGAGACGACUAUGUGAACGAAGGAAUGGAAGUCAUUGAAUGUUGUGUUUUCUGUACGUUCUGCCGUUGUGUCUUGUUACACAUUAAACAGUGCACCCUAACCUCCUUCCACUUAGGAACCAACGUGAAGGGAUGUUCGUAAGUAUUAGUAUGGUGGGACUGACGUAAUUGGUCAGUUUAUUUAUUCUCUCCAUUAAGUUCAGUCGAUACUACAGACUUCCCUAACACAAAGGAACUAUCUCCGGUGUUCAUCAAGUCGGUCGUUGCUUCAACUUAAACUCCAAAGGAGCACGUUCCCAUACACGUUCCCAUAAUUAGACUGUAGGUGUUCCUUUUACAUAAUUAGAACACGUUUCCAUAGUUAUACUGAACACAUUCCUUUUAGAUAAUUAGACACACAACAAAGGAACGAUGUAAUGAAUUCAACAUAUAUAGCACGGAGGUACGGUCUCAGGAUGGUCAUCUAACAUAGAACAACUAGGGUAUAACCGUCUCCUAAUACACGUGUGAUCGCAUCACGGGCACGCAAACGAUAACUUGGCGUUUUUGGCUAACGUCAACAUAAACUAAUCAUGAGGGAGGCGAGGAUUUAUAUUCAGAAACAUCUCUAAGGUGAUACCUGAUGCAUACUUCGUUUUACUCACUUAGAUGUGAGAUUUUACGUAGAUAUAUGUAGGCAUACACCAGGUAUCAUCUUAGAGAUUCUGAAUAUAAAUCCUUGCCUCCCUCAUCAUAUGUUGUCGGUUACGUGAACAACGAACUGUAGUAUUUUUCGUUAUGUGGUAUUGGUAUUUUCGUGAUUCUUGUGGUUCAUAGUUGGUUACCGUGCACAGUACCGACCUAAGACUUUAAACUUUCAAUCCUACUGCCCGUAUCCCUCCUCCCCACCGGCCCUCUGCCCCUAACCCCUCGUCCCCAACGGCCCUUUUUUUUAGUAGCUGUUUAACUGACCAACCAAACACAACCGUAACAAUUUUUUUUAGAAGGCUAAGCCGCUAAUUAGAAGGCUAAAUAGCAGAUAGAGUUCACCACCACUAGCUGAGGUGCUUAUCGGACUUGGACUCUUUACAUCUAGACGUUUGCCCUUGAAGGACAACAGAACUUAGUCCAGACGACGAGGUCGAGGGGAGAAAACAACGAAAGCCGAUUCGUAGAAAGCCGCCGCCUUUCUUCCGCUGAUCAACGAAGAUCGCUUCGUCGCUCAAGUACCCGUUCACUUACUUACUCGUCGCUCACUUCACGUUGUCACCAUACGCGUUACACAUCGCGUCUUCAAAGAUGGAGUUGUUUGUUCGUCCGUACUGGUUGUCAACCGUGAAGUUCAAUCCUUUUCCUUCAACAACCGUGAACCCUCAUACGUCAUCGCCGUAGUAAUAUAAUAGGGACUACAAAUUUGAUCUCAUCGUUUUUGAACAUGUUUGAACGCUUCCCUGCUUGAACAUGUUUAAUAGAUUACGAAAUCCGGCACCAGCCUGAGGGGGGCGAGACACGACCUCGCCUCACCGAACGAUCCAUAUUAGACGUCUCGACGAUUUUCCCGCGAAGCAGCCGAAGCGAGGCGCCUCUCGUCGGCUUGUCCACGAAUCAGAAGUCAGCGUCUUUAUAUAACCCUUUAUAAACUAAUAAUCAAUACCGUCUUUGAAAGAAACUUUUCAAAUUACUAAUAAGUAAUUACGUGUUUUUAUAUAACCCUUUAUAAACUAACUAUAUACAUAAUCUUACACUUAUUAACCAUUUUUUAAUUAUAACCGAACAUAUAAACCGACAUUUACUUGUGAUUAAUUAUAAAAAUAAACCGA
Molecule: ribosomal RNA, 5047 nt
Filed under: Triticum aestivum (bread wheat)
Lineage: Eukaryota; Viridiplantae; Streptophyta; Magnoliopsida; Poales; Poaceae
Description: partial small subunit ribosomal RNA
Source: RNAcentral